Molecule: ribosomal RNA, 250 nt
Filed under: uncultured Lachnospiraceae bacterium
Lineage: Bacteria; Bacillati; Bacillota; Clostridia; Lachnospirales; Lachnospiraceae
Description: partial 16S ribosomal RNA
Rfam family: Bacterial small subunit ribosomal RNA
Source: RNAcentral
GACUGAGCGGCGGACGGGUGAGUAACGCGUGGGUAACCUGCCUCAUACAGGGGGAUAACAGUUAGAAAUGACUGCUAAUACCGCAUAAGACCACGGUACCGCAUGGUACAGUGGGAAAAACUCCGGUGGUAUGAGAUGGACCCGCGUCUGAUUAGCUAGUUGGUAAGGUAACGGCUUACCAAGGCGACGAUCAGUAGCCGACCUGAGAGGGUGACCGGCCACAUUGGGACUGAGACACGGCCCAAACUCC